This 366-nucleotide ribosomal RNA is filed under the name uncultured bacterium. Its description in RNAcentral is "bacterial SSU rRNA". It matches the Rfam family "Bacterial small subunit ribosomal RNA", at positions 28 to 393 of the family's 1533-position model. The record is from RNAcentral.
GACGAACGCUGGCGGCGUGCUUAACACAUGCAAGUCGAACGGUGAAGGAAGAGCUUGCUCUUCCGGAUCAGUGGCGAACGGGUGAGUAACACGUGGGCAACCUGCCCUGACUCUGGGAUAACUCCUCGAAAGAGGUGCUAAUACCGGAUACGACCACUUCGGACAUCCGAUGGUGGUGGAAAAGUUUUUCGGUCAGGGAUGGGCCCGCGGCCUAUCAGCUAGUUGGUGGGGUAAUGGGCCUACCAAGGCGACGACGGGUAGCCGGCCUGAGAGGGCGACCGGCCACACUGGGACUGAGACACGGCCCAGACUCCUACGGGAGCAGCAGUGGGAAUAUUGCGCAAUGGGCGAAAGCCUGACGCAGUG